Poecilia reticulata (guppy) is the source of this 470-nucleotide long non-coding RNA. RefSeq lists it as uncharacterized. The record is from RefSeq and is a predicted model, not a curated record. NCBI's taxonomy places the organism in Eukaryota, Metazoa, Chordata, Actinopteri, Cyprinodontiformes, Poeciliidae.
CGAACAGCUGUUGCCAUUAUCAGUUGUCAUCGUUUUUCUCCUCAAUAAAACUGAACAGAAAUGUUCAGUAAAAGAAAUACGAGCCUCCAUCUUGUUUGAAGAAGCUUUCACUCUGUAACACUGGGCAGUGAUAAUGACCAUCAAGAGCUGCUUCCUCUCUUCUGCAGUGUAGCUGGAGAACCAUGGUGGUGACUAGAGGCUGCACACCUUGGAGGGCGUGACUGUCGGUGCACCUGUGAUUCAUCACUCAGUCAUCCCGGAGUAUAUGAAAAGCAGGCUGCCAGCACUUAAUCGCUUGAGUGUUUGCCAGUUACGGUGUUUCCUUGUGACGCCUUGGAAAUUCCCCUGUGAAGCCCGAGACCUGGCUGUCUAAAUUUCCCCCCUCGUGACGCCGUGGAUUGUUACCCAUUGGUUGCCUGAGUACCUUCUUCGCCCCUGCAGACCUUCAAUAAACCUUUUCUGGAUUCUCA